RNAcentral lists this long non-coding RNA (953 nucleotides) under Mustela putorius furo (domestic ferret). RNAcentral's name for it is "lncRNA (ENSMPUG00000030030.1)". Lineage: Eukaryota; Metazoa; Chordata; Mammalia; Carnivora; Mustelidae. The record is from RNAcentral.
CUUGAUGGAGGGAAAGCAUAGCAUGUGCUCCUCUCUUGGAGCCAAUGAGCGCUAGAACUGGGAACCCUUUCUCUGCGUUCUGGUGGCACUUUGUUCUGUUUGUUCUUCACUGUCGGGAAACAAGAAGAGUGCCCCCUGGACCUAACACCCCCCACUCCGGAUCUUCCCACCCGGGUCUCAGCCUUAAACUAGAAAACUCAGGGGUCAUCAGCAGAAGACUGAGUAAACAGCUUGUGGCAUAGCCACAUGAUGUGACCCUGUUCAACAGCAAAAAGGAAGAACUGCUGAAAAGCACAGCAACAUGGAUGAACCUCAGAAACACUGAGUGAAAGAAUAUUCACACAUGCACAAAACAUUCUACUUGAUUCAAUGAAUAUGAAGUGCAAGAGCAGGGAAAAUAAAUUUAUGAUAGAUGUCAGAAGGUGGUUGCAUUUGGAGAUGGGGUAAAAUUGAUGGGAAGAUAGUGUGUGGGAACUUUCUAGAUGAUUAAAAUGUUCUAUAUUUUGCUUGGGUGGUAGUCUCACAGAUAUUUACAAAUGUCCUAACUCAUCAAACUGAAUAUUUUAGACCUGUGCCUUUUAUGUUGCAUAAUUUGUAACUCUAAUUAAACGAAUGAAUGAAAAACAAACAAUCUAAUUAUUUUCAGGGAGAUACCUAAAGGUAAAUUCAGGUUGAACAAGAGGUUGUAUCCACUUCAACAUUAGCAGAGUUUGUUUCAGAGUUAGGACUAUUGUGUCCUGAGAAAGACCUGGAGUAUCUAAAAAUAUGAAAGGGAAAUAAUGAUAAAUAAUAUGAAAGGCUCUAAAGAAGACCUAGAAGACCCAUUUGAAACUGUGCAAGAGAAACCAUUUUUCUUAACCUUCCCUCAAAUAACCUUUAGAAUAUUUAAGAAUGCUCUGUAGGAUGUACACUUAAUUUCAAACAUAACUAACCAGUUUGUAAUCCAUAAAAAU